CAGCUGCAUGAAGCUUCCCAAGAGAGCACCCAGGCAAGAUGAGAAAAAGAACCAACUCACCAAUACACAGAAGCAUAGGAAAUAAUUAUUAGAAAUUGGAGACAAUGUUAUUCUCACUUACAACCACAGAAGAAAGAAUAAAUGACUUGCCCAGUGUAAUACUGUCUCUUGGUGCAGGAACCAUGAUUUAAAACAAACACUCCAUACUUAUUUCUCCUUUGUGCUCUUUCUUAGGAAGUGGCAGAGAAUCUUCAGGGAAACUGUAACUGGAUCUAGAUUAUGGCUUCGGCCCAUAGAUUUUAUCUGUUAGGUAAAAUUUAGAAUUUAGAAUUUUAGAUUCUCCUGAUCCUUGUGGAGGAACAAAGCAUUAGAUGAAGAUUUUUUAUUUGGCACUGAGUUAAUGCAGGAGUGAAGGUAUAUCAAAUGAACUAAAAGAAAUAGGGUGACAUGCAAUUUUGUUUAGCAAAACCCUUACUAACAUAAAUUCUAUUUCACUUUCUAACUGCACCCAUAUAAUCCUGAUCCCAAAUUAGCCUUCAUUAUAUUCAGUGAAACCACGUGCAUUUGGUUUUCUAAAACAUAUUAUCUGAGGCAUCAUUAAUGAAGCGUAUCAAAUUAACAGAUAUUUGUUGAGCUCAUGCUGUGCGGAAGGCUCUGUGUUGGAUGUGGUAUCACAUGUUCCAUCCUGAAGAGCCAGUGUGGGUGGCCUCCUGUAGCCGGCUCAGAUUUCUGGAAUGAUGUGGGUAUUUUUCUUUGAUGGUAAUAACGGAUGAAUGAGGAUGCUCGAUUCCUUUUGCACACUUGAGGCUAUAUGAACUAUUGGUCAUUUGUAUAUCAAAGAAAUGAUUCCUGCUGUACAUCUUCUGCCCAGCAAUGUGUUAAUAGCUUCAUCUAUCCAUUUCAAAUAGAAGGGAAGCUAUUUUUUAUUUUAUACUCUUGAGUUGUUUGACUAUUUCUUUGUCCAAAUGUUAUUUUUAUUUACACGUGCUAAUUUUUAAAAGUACGUGUGCUCAGAAGCUAAUAUUUGACAACAUGUGUAUAUCUUUUUAUUAUUUUUAUUUUUUCUCAUUUAUACUUAUUUUUUGAAAGAUUCUUUAAAUUCUACAGUGUUUUACAAUUUUUAAGUUUCACACACAAUUUUGUAUAAUCCCUUAAUAACAUUUUUUAUCCCUUACCCCUAUAUAUUUUUGGAUUGUUCAGUGAGCGUUUAUUUAUGUUAUUUAAAAUGCUUUCAUUUUUGCACAGUUUGCUCAGGACCCCACGACAAAAUACCAUAGACUGGAAGGCUUAAACAACAGAAGUUUAUUUUCUCACAGUUCUGGAGGUAGGAAGUUCACGCUCAGGGUGUUGGCGGUUGUGGUUUCUCCUGAGUCCUCUCUCCUUGGCCUGCAGACGGCCACCUGCUUGCUGUGUCCACACAUGGCCUUUUCACUGUGCAUUCACAUCGCUGGUAUCUCUGCCUCUGUUUAGGGACACUGGUCAGACUGGACUAGGCCCCACCCAUAUGAUCUCAUGUAACCUUAAUUACCCUUGAAAUGUCCCGUCUCUCCAUACAGACACAUUCUAAAGCACUAGGAGUUAAGGCUUUCAUAUAUGCAUUUAAGGAAGCACAAUUCAGCCCGUAACAAUUUUCAUUAUCUUAUUUAUAGUAACAGAAUAUAUAAAUCCCUUUAUGCUAUUAUUAAACGACACUGUGUUUUCCUCUUUACAUUAUUUUAAAGGUCUACAUUUUACAUACCUCUUUGGUUGUAACAAUAAUUAUUAUUUAACAUUUAUUUGGUACUUAGUAUCUGUCAGGCAUGCUGCUAAUUAUUUGAAUUAUAUAGCAUGUAAGCUGUAUGCAACCGUAAGAGCUAGAUACUACUAUUAUUUCUAUUGUGGUGGUGAAAAAACAGAGGUUUAGGAUGUUCACAGACUUGUAAAAGUUCAUGACUGAUAAAUGGAAAAGACUAGAGGCCCUUUGUCUGCAAAACAACUUUGUGAAAUCUGUAUUGCAGGUACUAUGUAAUUUGUUGGGGGUGGGGUAGUGGCUAGUUCCCUUAGCAGAUUUUGAAUUCCUACCUGGUAGCUCCAUUUAUUCUUUGUAUUUCUAGCAUUUUAGUUCAUUGAUUCAACCUAACCUUCCAAAGCUAUGUCUCAGUAAACAUUCUGCUGAACUUGAAUGCAAGGGUGCUUCCUACAUUUUUUGAAUCAAACCAAAUCAAGAGAUGAAACAGUUUGCCUAAGGCUACCCAGUUAAUUGGUGACAGAUUAAAAAACUAGAACUUUAUUACAUUUCUGGUCCAGUUAUUGUACUUUUACACCAAAUUGCUCCCUUUAAGAGUGACAUGACCUGCUAAAGUUUGUAGGAAAGAGAGAGAAACACACACCACAUAUUCAUUUGAGAAUGCUUGUUCUCUCCAAAAGAGAACCCCAACACAGAGCUUUUCUCCUCUGGCAAUCAGAUAUUGAUCUAAUAACUCAGAGCCGACUUUAGAUGAAGGAAUUCAGUGCUAUUUUCAGAACAGCCACAACGCCAUUUUUAAAUUUAUAAUGAAAAAAAAAAAAAAAACAAACCCACUUCUAUUGGGCAUGGAAUUAGUUAUAUCUGCUUGCAUAGUUUCAGAGCAUAAAGGCACCUGUGCAUUGUCAGCUGCAUCCUUGUGACACCUACCCCUUGUGCUUUCACAUUACAAUUUCAGCUUUAGCUUUGAGUGGAAAGCCCUGGGGUGUCAGCGUGCUUUCUAUUAGAAUCCAAUUCAUUGUCGUUCCUCUCCUUCAGCCAUCUGGUUACGACUGUGAGUAAACAGGAAGCACUGAUGCUUUAUAAAGCAUAGAAGGAUGAAGUCCCAAGCAUUUCAAAUGGUCCCUAGCUUUUCCACUUAGAAAUCAAAUUCAGUUGUGUUACUCUUUUUGCCCCUUUUAUUGUAGCCACGUUCUGUGUUAUCCUAAUAGACCUUCUUUGAUUUCCAUCUUGUAAAAAUAGGAUAGAGGGUGUUUACCGGUAAUUUCUUAAAAUACCUUCCUUACUGAAAUCAUUACAGAGGGGUUUCACCUUAUUUUAAGUAGGCGUUUUCAAUGUACAUACUGGCCCACAAUGUACAUAUUUAUUUCUUUUUAUUGUUUUAUGCUGACCGAUCCUGCCAUUUUACUCCAUACAUCAUUCUAAAGAAAUCAUUUCAUCUGUUUUUACCAUUUAAUGUGCUCACCUCCAGUGUGGAGACAGUAAGUCUGGAUUGUUUAAGAGGUAAACCUGGGAAAAUUAAUUCCAGUUUGGAAAGAAGUCUGAGUGUCUCUGCUGAAAAGGUUUUAUAAUUGAUAUUAUUUUUGUUGCCAUCAACAGGCUGUGGAAGGUAAUAGAAAAAAAAUUUAACUGAACAGGGUCCAAGCCUCAUGCUCAACUGUUGGAGUGUAAUUCUGUUUCAAUAUAGAAGCCUUAAGUUCCAUUCUGUAUGUGAUUGGACCCACAAAAGGCAGGGACUCCACAAACUCAUUACAAUCAAAUGGGACUUGAAUUCUCUUGUCUAAUGUCAUAAUAAGCAAUUAUGAGCAUCUUCUCAGCAUUCAAAUCGGGUAAUGGUGAAACCCUAGAGAGACAUUAGAUGCUGGCAGACUCUGGCUGAUGGAAUGUGCAUAUGCUCAAUGGAUCCCUGAAGGCAGGAUGGGUAGCUGGAUGCCAGGGCAGAUUGCCCUCAGUAUUUAGGGUAGACGCUACCUUCAAUUAUGACUUGUGUUUUAUAAUCUGAGCAGUUAUAAUAAUAUGUGUGUUCAUUCUGGAGAACUCUCUGCGGCAACCGUAGGAACAGCCUUUCACAUCCAUCUCCCAUUUCACGAGAGAAUAGCAAAUGAAACUCUUCUUUCAACUUUAUAUUUCUCUGAUAGCAAAGUCUGGAAAAAUACAAGUUCUACUCUACACUAUCAUUUUGUUUUAUGUUAAAUCUCCUUUUGUCCACUCUGGGAGAAGUAGCAGAUUUUGCAUUAUCAGUGGGCUCCUUUGUAAAGAUAAUUAGAUAAGUAAAUACUUGCAGCCCUACAGCAAGGCAUUGAGGAGGGCUUCUUAUUGGAAAAUUCUCCUACACACAAGUUAGUUACUGAAUUGUGUUAUUCUUUUCAGCUGAGUCCUCAGAGCAAAAUGAGAUGGUCUUUCUAAUUUUUUUUUUCCCCACUAGUUAAAGAAGGAGCCUCAACCAGAUAAUUUCUCAGGGGGAUUCUUGCUCAAAAUUGUAUGAUUCUGUGAAAAACUGAUCAGAUGACAUUUAGACAUGUUGAGGAAUUCUUUAAUUCAGAGAUCUUUAGAAGGCUGUCCCUUCUGUAAGGACCAGUCUAGAUGGUACAAAUGAAAUAGAAAGUUGGACCAAUGAAACAUCUCUGAAAAGAGAGUUUUGGGGGGGGGGGGAUGAUUUUUAACUGUAAAGAAAAAGAAAUGGAUGGUUUACAGGAAUUAUUGGUAUUAUUUUCAUAUAUCCAUAAUUUGCAACUUUCCUACUUCUAAAAACUCUCUAAGGCAUAUAAUACACAUUAAAAAUUAAACCAUUAUAAUAAUUGUGUAAACCAACUAUAAUGGAAAAAAUAAAAAUCGUAAAAAAAGAAAAUUAAACCAUUACAGAUACUCUGUGUAGACUAAGCCAUACAACUUCAAUAUUUAAAAAUGUUAGAUCUAUUAUCUGGUUCAUUUCCCACCCUCAGCAUAAUCAAUGUAGUUAUUUCUUUUGUCUCAACAACCAAAUCACUCUGCUGCAUGGUUGGUCUGAUCCAUGAUGGCAGCAUCAAUUAUCCUAACGGUGAAAAUUCCGAUGUGGUCAUCCUACUCAAAUACAGGCAAACUGCCUUGGGAACCAAUCUCAGCUGCUCCUCAAAUAGAGUCCCCUUUGGUGCAAUAAAUCGAGAAGGGAUUCCUUUUUGGCUACCAAAGCGAGUUAUUUUAAGACAGUCCUACCACGAAAUGAUUAUCUUUCACUUUGCAUAUUAUAAAUGUCCUCCUUUACCUUCCAGGUAUCGUCAUCUCUCUAGCUUAGCAAAGAUAGUUGUCAUUGAAAGGACUAGCAUCCAUUUUUUAAAGAAAACAGAACAAUAUUCUCCUACUUGAAAAAUUUGAUGUAGGAAUUUUCCUAGCAUGUUGACAGAAAGAUGAUCCAAAAUGUAUCCGUAGUCCCAAACACAUUAUGUUGAAAUUAUUUUUCAACUGAAAAAGAAAAAAAAGGUAGCUUUCCUUUCAAAUUGGCAUGUAAUUCACAGUAAACUUUUCUUAUGCAGUUAGGCUUAAGGAUUGGGCCCAGGGAAUUAAAAGCAAACAAGUCAACAAUAAACAAUCAAGUAAUGAUGAGAGAUUUGACACAGUUCACGGGUUGCCAGGAGUUCAAAAGGCCUACUUUUCACAUCAGCUUUCAUAAUUCUAAUGCCCUCUGUGAUGGCUCCCACCCCCUGAUUCUAUCUGGAUCGAACACUAGUAACGCCAAGGAAGAAGCACAAAACAAUGCUCCCAAGUGCAAGAAAGACUGUUUUUUUUUUUCAUGCUUUUAGCAAUGUGACCUUAGGUAUUGAUUUAUAGCCCGCCACUGCACCCGAGAGCAGAAGGGAACAUUGGUAAUUAAGUCAGUAUCUGCACUUUCUAAAAUAGUGCUGACUUGCAACAAAGAGAGACCCUUUAUUUUUCCUCUCUUGUCUCCCACUGAAUGCAGAUGCAGGCACUGACCUCUGACCUUUCUCCAAAUUCUCUUGCCACAGCUGUUAUUUUUCUUUCUCUAGGCCUUUAGCUGCUGAUAGGCUGGUAAAGAUUCAUUAAAUUAUAUGUGCAACUUUCUUUUAGCAAAACAUGAAGCUGUUUAUACCCUAAGCCUUAUAAAAUAUAUCUUUAUUGAGCUCAGAGUGAAAGUAAAUGCUUUCCCUGGGGCACCUAUCAGGGAUUUGCCAGAUAAGUACAUGGGUCACUGACUGACCACUUUAAUAAGGCACAGAAAUUUUUUUGAGGAAUUUUAUAUUAAACAUGGAACUUUCCAUUGUAAAAUUCCCAAGAUCGUAAAAGUGAAUUGAGUCAGAAAUCUCUUUUUUAUAUUCCAUUAGCGUCAUUACUGAAACAGGGCCUCAAAAGGUAAUAGCAAUAAAACCAAGUACCUUGAGGUGUGUAUGCAAAUUAUAUGCUAAUAUAUGGUAAUCUGAGUACCAUGUUCAGUGGCCAUAAAAAUUACUAAAUACAGCUAAUUAAAGGUAGGUAAGUUGCUGUGUUUUAUACUUCACAGCAAUAUGAAGGAAGUAGUGUAUUACAAUAAUUAUAGUAUUUCCUGCCCUGGGGAAUAUAUCCAACACUUUAAUAGGAUUUCUUAUUCUGGUGUAUUUGUCCAUUUCGCUGAGUGCAAUCCCUUUUUCUCCUUUCUACUCCAGGUUGUAGAUCCAUGAAGUUAGUACAAAACAAAGAAACAAAUUAAAUCUUUAGCCCAAAGGAGAACAAACACUAUCCUCUCUAGAAACUUUGGAAAAGUCAUGUCCACUUACCAUAUCUAUUAUAACAAUUGCCCCUGGGGUAGUGGGUUUAGCACUCAGCCAUAUUGAAAACUAGGGUAGCCAGAGACAAGGAUUCUCAGCAUGGCGAAUAACUAUUUCUCCAAGAAAUAUAACCUUAACAUAGAGCAUUCUUUAUUAUAGCGAACUCAAGUCAUGGAAUAUAUAUUUACUUUUUUAAUUCUUUAGAAAUUCUAAGGAUAUGAAAAAAAGAAACUGCAAUGAGAUUUAUAAGAAGUAUAAAGUUAAUGUGAAGUCUGCCUAAAAAUACCUGAUUUUCCUUAAUCUAACUAAAACAUUAUGUGUAUUAGCAUCUGUAUAUUCAAUAUGCUAAUAGUACUUUAAUCUCUAAAAUGUUUUUGCUCUAUAAUAUUAAAGAUAGACUUUAUCAGGCUGAAUAUUACCAAAGUUAAGCCAAAAAUUCACUUGAAAUGAAUUUACCAACUUACUUGUGAAGUUGAUGUUGUUAAUACUUUCCGGGUUGCUGGGUAGAGAUUUAAUAGCUCAGCAAUAUGAGAAGUUGAUAUUUUGUGCAUUCAUAAUAUAUCACAUAUCAGUAUUUCACAAAAUUAAAAGCAAAAAAAUACUGCAAAUCAACCAACAACAG
This 7081-nucleotide long non-coding RNA is filed under the name Sus scrofa (pig). Its description in RNAcentral is "lncRNA (ENSSSCG00035005447.1)". Lineage: Eukaryota; Metazoa; Chordata; Mammalia; Artiodactyla; Suidae. The record is from RNAcentral.